CCCCCCUCCGACUGUCACUGACAGUGUUAAAAAUCCUUCUGUACUUUUUCACCUCUCCUCUCUAGGUGAUGUCAUUGAAGAGACAAGGCCUACUAUGGCGGGGUCCAGCUCAUCAUUGGGGACCUAAUGCACGCGAUUGAAUUAAUGCUUUCCUACAGGCAUUUACUUGGUCGGUGCCGCAGAAGCACCUCUAGUGGAUUUUAAUACAACAGCCAGCA
This is a non-coding RNA of Pelobates cultripes (western spadefoot toad), 218 nucleotides long. Lineage: Eukaryota; Metazoa; Chordata; Amphibia; Anura; Pelobatidae. The record is from the annotation of a GenBank genome assembly.